CAGCCGUAAACAAUGUGCGUUAGGUGUGUCGGUAACCACGUGUUACUGAUGCGCCGAAGAGAAAUCGUGAAACGCACCACCUGGGAAGUACGGUCGCAAGGCUGAAACUUAAAGGAAUUGGCGGGGGAGCACCACAACAGGUGGAGCCUGCGGUUUAAUUGGAUUCAACGCCGGACAUCUCACCGGAUAAGACAGCUGAAUGAUUGUCAAUCUGAGGGUUUUACAUGACUAGCUGAGAGGUGGUGCAUGGCGUCAGUGACU
This 261-nucleotide ribosomal RNA is filed under the name uncultured archaeon. RNAcentral describes it as "partial 16S ribosomal RNA". It matches the Rfam family "Archaeal small subunit ribosomal RNA", at positions 748 to 1008 of the family's 1478-position model. The record is from RNAcentral.